Molecule: long non-coding RNA, 904 nt
Organism: Anolis carolinensis (green anole)
Lineage: Eukaryota; Metazoa; Chordata; Lepidosauria; Squamata; Anolidae
Exons: 2
Source: RefSeq, a predicted model, not a curated record
ACUGCACUAACCACUGGUGGAUUUUACAUCACAUUAUCCUCUUUGUACCCAUUCUAAGAAUUACUGUACCUGUUAAGUUCCAGGUAACUAAGGUCUGACUGGAAACGUAUUCCCUAUUGUCAUGAGAACCAUGCUGCAUUCUGUCAUGUGCGUCAGAGGCACAUGAGUGUUGAAGAGCAGUAUGAUAACAAUUCUUUAAAAUUCAGAUUUCAAGUUUUUUUCAAUGAUAGUAAUCACUUCACCCAUUACAUUACUUUGAAAAGUCUCCCCUCUUUUCACUUCCAAAGCAGUUUUUCCAAUUCCACCCACCUCCACACAAGAAUGAGGCUGAGCCCAUUCAAAUCUUCUUUUAGCCACAAAAUCUGUGAACAAACAGCCCUGUGUAUUCCACAGAAGUGCUGCUUUUUCUGCAAGGAUGAGAGGAAGAUGUGCUGUUUCUGAGAGAAGAGAGAAGAGCUGUCGUAACCUGAGGCCAUUUUUCCGACUGCAGCCAGGCAGUUUUGCUUCAGGGCACUGCUUUUGUUAUCUCCCCUUAUGCCUUCUGCAAAUGAAAUCAUACAAAGAAGCUUCCAAGAGAGAGCUACUUUUUUUGAGGAGGACUCGGCAGCUGAAGGAAGUUGCUCUUGAUGGAUAGGAACAGGGGGCUGCUUCAUCAUAACUAAAACAAAACAUGUUCAAUAGACCUGCUGUGAUUGCUGAAGGCUUCUUUCCUCAGCUGUAGUUCAGCAACAAAGGUUACAUGAAGUCCUAGAGCGGAUCCUCAUGUGGAUGCACUGCACACCGCUGUGAUGAAUGUGUGUUCCUCCACCAUGGAACAAAAGCAAGGUUUUACCAGCCAAGGCAGUGCCACUCAAGUUGUACAGCUGGAUUUUGCUUAGAAAUAAAUACUUGCUUUUGGAUUUAA